GGUGAACGCUGGCGGUAGGCCUAACACAUGCAAGUCGAACGGCAGCACAGUAAGAGCUUGCUCUUACGGGUGGCGAGUGGCGGACGGGUGAGGAAUACAUCUGAAUCUACUUUUUCGUGGGGGAGAACGUAGGGAAACUUACGCUAAUACCGCAUACGACCUACGGGUGAAAGCAGGGGAUCUUCGGACCUUGCGCGAUUGAAUGAGCCGAUGUCGGAUUAGCUAGUUGGCGGGGUAAAGGCCCACCAAGGCGACGAUCCGUAGCUGGUCUGAGAGGAUGAUCAGCCACACUGGAACUGAGACACGGUCCAGACUCCUACGGGAGGCAGCAGUGGGGAAUAUUGGACAAAGGGCGCAAGCCUGAUCCAGCCAUACCGCGUGGGUGAAGAAGGCCUUCGGGUUGUAAAGCCCUUUUGUUGGGAAAGAAAAGCAGCAGGUUAAUACCCCGCUGUUCUGACGGUACCCAAAGAAUAAGCACCGGCUAACUUCGUG
This 492-nucleotide ribosomal RNA is filed under the name uncultured bacterium. Its description in RNAcentral is "partial 16S ribosomal RNA". It matches the Rfam family "Bacterial small subunit ribosomal RNA", at positions 28 to 507 of the family's 1533-position model. The record is from RNAcentral.